UAGGGAAUCUUCGGCAAUGGACGAAAGUCUGACCGAGCAACGCCGCGUGAGUGAAGAAGGUUUUCGGAUCGUAAAACUCUGUUGUAGAGAAGAACAAGGACGUUAGUAACUGAACGUCCCCUGACGGUAUCUAACCAGAAAGCCACGGCUAACUACGUGCCAGCAGCCGCGGUAAUACGUAGGUGGCAAGCGUUGUCCGGCUUUAUUGGGCGUAAAGCGAGCGGAGGCGGUUUCUUAAGUCUGAUGUGAAAGCCCCCGGCUCAACCGGGGAGGGUCAUUGGAAACUGGGAGACUUGAGUGCAGAAGAGGAGAGUGGAAUUCCAUGUGUAGCGGGGAAAUGAGUUGAUAUAUGGAGGAACACCAGUGGCGAAGGCGGCUCUCUGGUCUGUGACUGACGCUGAGGCUCGAAAGCGUGGGGAGCAAACAGG
RNAcentral lists this ribosomal RNA (428 nucleotides) under Gemmatimonadota bacterium. RNAcentral describes it as "Gemmatimonadetes bacterium partial 16S ribosomal RNA". It matches the Rfam family "Bacterial small subunit ribosomal RNA", at positions 355 to 776 of the family's 1533-position model. Lineage: Bacteria; Pseudomonadati; Gemmatimonadota. The record is from RNAcentral.